UACGUAGGGUGCAAGCGUUAAUCGGAAUUACUGGGCGUAAAGCGUGCGCAGGCGGUUUUGUAAGACUGUCGUGAAAUCCCCGGGCUUAACCUGGGAACUGCAUUUGUGACUGCACGGCUAGAGUGUGUCAGAGGGGGGUAGAAUUCCACGUGUAGCAGUGAAAUGCGUAGAUAUGUGGAGGAAUACCGAUGGCGAAGGCAGCCCCCUGGGAUAACACUGACGCUCAUGCACGAAAGCGUGGGGAGCAAACAGG
This 253-nucleotide ribosomal RNA is filed under the name uncultured bacterium. RNAcentral's name for it is "partial 16S ribosomal RNA". It matches the Rfam family "Bacterial small subunit ribosomal RNA", at positions 524 to 776 of the family's 1533-position model. The record is from RNAcentral.